Molecule: ribosomal RNA, 2887 nt
Filed under: Acinetobacter baumannii
Lineage: Bacteria; Pseudomonadati; Pseudomonadota; Gammaproteobacteria; Moraxellales; Moraxellaceae
Description: partial 23S ribosomal RNA
Rfam family: Bacterial large subunit ribosomal RNA
Source: RNAcentral
AGUCAAGUAAUUAAGUGCAUGUGGUGGAUGCCUUGGCAGUCAGAGGCGAUGAAAGACGUGAUAGCCUGCGAAAAGCUCCGGGGAGGCGGCAAAUAUCCUUUGAUCCGGAGAUGUCUGAAUGGGGGAACCCACCUACUUUAAGGUAGGUAUUGCAACAUGAAUACAUAGUGUUGCAAGGCGAACGAGGGGAAGUGAAACAUCUCAGUACCCUUAGGAAAAGAAAUCAAUUGAGAUUCCCUCAGUAGCGGCGAGCGAACGGGGAUCAGCCCAUUAAGUUAUGUGUGUUUUAGUGGAACGCUCUGGGAAGUGCGAACGUAGAGGGUGAUAUUCCCGUACACGAAAGGGCACACAUAAUGAUGACGAGUAGGGCGAGGCACGUGAAACCUUGUCUGAAUAUGGGGGGACCAUCCUCCAAGGCUAAAUACUCCUGACUGACCGAUAGUGAACCAGUACCGUGAGGGAAAGGCGAAAAGAACCCCUGUGAGGGGAGUGAAAUAGAUCCUGAAACCGCAUGCAUACAAGCAGUGGGAGCACCUUCGUGGUGUGACUGCGUACCUUUUGUAUAAUGGGUCAGCGACUUAUAUUCAGUAGCGAGGUUAACCGUAUAGGGGAGCCGUAGAGAAAUCGAGUCUUAAUAGGGCGUUUAGUUGCUGGGUAUAGACCCGAAACCAGGCGAUCUAUCCAUGAGCAGGUUGAAGGUUGGGUAACACUAACUGGAGGACCGAACCCACUGUCGUUGAAAAGCCAGGGGAUGACUUGUGGAUAGGGGUGAAAGGCUAAUCAAGCCUGGUGAUAGCUGGUUCUCCCCGAAAGCUAUUUAGGUAGCGCCUCGGACGAAUACCAUAGGGGGUAGAGCACUGUUUCGGCUAGGGGGUCAUCCCGACUUACCAAACCGAUGCAAACUCCGAAUACCUAUGAGUACUAUCCGGGAGACAGACUGCGGGUGCUAACGUCCGUAGUCAAGAGGAAAACAAUCCAGACCGCCAGCUAAGGCCCCAAAAUCAUAGUUAAGUGGGAAACGAUGUGGGAAGGCAUAGACAGCUAGGAGGUUGGCUUAGAAGCAGCCACCCUUUAAAGAAAGCGUAAUAGCUCACUAGUCGAGUCGGCCUGCGCGGAAGAUGUAACGGGGCUAAAACUAUGUGCCGAAGCUGCGGAUGUAUACUUUGUAUACGUGGUAGGGGAGCGUUCUGUAAGCCGAUGAAGGUGUGUUGAGAAGCAUGCUGGAGGUAUCAGAAGUGCGAAUGCUGACGUGAGUAACGACAAAACGGGUGAAAAACCCGUUCGCCGAAAGACCAAGGGUUCCAGUCCAACGUUAAUCGGGGCUGGGUGAGUCGACCCCUAAGGCGAGGCCGAAAGGCGUAGUCGAUGGGAAAAUGGUUAAUAUUCCAUUACUUCUGUGUAAUGCGAUGAGAGGACGGAGAAGGCUAAAUCAGCCUGGCGUUGGUUGUCCAGGUGAAAGGAUGUAGGCAUGUAUCUUAGGCAAAUCCGGGGUACUCUAUGCUGAGAUCUGAUAGCAAGCUGUACUUGUACAGCGAAGUGGUUGAUGCCAUGCUUCCAGGAAAAGUCUCUAAGCUUCAGUUACACAGGAAUCGUACCCGAAACCGACACAGGUGGUCAGGUCGAGUAGACCAAGGCGCUUGAGAGAACUCUGCUGAAGGAACUAGGCAAAAUGGUACCGUAACUUCGGGAGAAGGUACGCUGUUGUUGGUGAUGGAACUCGCUUCCUGAGCUGACGACAGCCGCAGAAACCAGGCCGCUGCAACUGUUUAUUAAAAACAUAGCACUCUGCAAACACGAAAGUGGACGUAUAGGGUGUGAUGCCUGCCCGGUGCUGGAAGGUUAAUUGAUGGGGUUAGCGUAAGCGAAGCUCUUGAUCGAAGCCCCAGUAAACGGCGGCCGUAACUAUAACGGUCCUAAGGUAGCGAAAUUCCUUGUCGGGUAAGUUCCGACCUGCACGAAUGGCAUAAUGAUGGCGGCGCUGUCUCCAGCAGAGGCUCAGUGAAAUCGAAAUCGCUGUGAAGAUGCAGUGUACCCGCGGCUAGACGGAAAGACCCCGUGAACCUUUACUGCAGCUUGACACUGAACUUUGACCUUACUUGUGUAGGAUAGGUGGGAGGCUUUGAAGCUGGAACGCUAGUUCCAGUGGAGCCGUCCUUGAAAUACCACCCUGGUAAUGUUGAGGUUCUAACUCUGUCCCGUGAUCCGGGACGAGGACCGUGUCUGGUGGGUAGUUUGACUGGGGCGGUCUCCUCCUAAAGAGUAACGGAGGAGUACGAAGGUGCGCUCAGCGUGGUCGGAAAUCACGCGUAGAGUAUAAAGGCAAAAGCGCGCUUAACUGCGAGACCCACAAGUCGAGCAGGUACGAAAGUAGGUCUUAGUGAUCCGGUGGUUCUGUAUGGAAGGGCCAUCGCUCAACGGAUAAAAGGUACUCUGGGGAUAACAGGCUGAUACCGCCCAAGAGUUCAUAUCGACGGCGGUGUUUGGCACCUCGAUGUCGGCUCAUCUCAUCCUGGGGCUGAAGCAGGUCCCAAGGGUAUGGCUGUUCGCCAUUUAAAGAGGUACGCGAGCUGGGUUUAGAACGUCGUGAGACAGUUCGGUCCCUAUCUACCGUGGGCGCUGGAAAUUUGAGAGGAUCUGCUCCUAGUACGAGAGGACCAGAGUGGACGAACCUCUGGUGUACCGGUUGUGACGCCAGUCGCAUCGCCGGGUAGCUAUGUUCGGAAGGGAUAACCGCUGAAAGCAUCUAAGCGGGAAGCCUACCUCAAGAUAAGAUUUCCCUAGGACUUUAUGUCCUCUAAAGAGCCGUUCGAGACUAGGACGUUGAUAGGUUGGAUGUGGAAGCAUAGUGAUAUGUGAAGCUGACCAAUACUAAUUGCUCGUGAGGCUU